CACGACUACAUUAGAUACCCGUGUAGUCCUAGCCGUAAACGAUACUCGCUAGGUGUCGGCCACGGUGCGACCGUUGUCGGUGCCGUAGGGAAGCCGUGAAGCGAGCCACCUGGGAAGUACGGCCGCAAGGCUGAAACUUAAAGGAAUUGGCGGGGAGCACAACAACGGGUGGAGCUUGCGGUUUAAUUGGAUUCAACGCCGGAAAACUCAUCGGGAGCGACAGCAGUAUGAUUGCCAGGUUGAUGACCUUGCUUGACAAGCUG
Molecule: ribosomal RNA, 263 nt
Filed under: uncultured archaeon
Lineage: Archaea
Description: partial 16S ribosomal RNA
Rfam family: Archaeal small subunit ribosomal RNA
Source: RNAcentral